UCCCAUUGUUGUGUUUGUCCUGCACACUUGUUCUAUGUUCUGGAUGAUAAAGUAUUUUAAAAAAAUGCAGAAAACACCACCAUGGUCAAAGAAAGUUUUACUGAGGAGGUUCAAAAAUAUAACAUCAUUUAUGACACAAAGCAUGUAUUUUACAACAAGGAUUCAGUGAGAAAGUAGAAGGCGUGGUUUUAUCGUAUAAGUGUUGGAUGAGCUAAGAGAGGGGGACGAACUACGUGACACGGGGGUGACAGGACAAACCGCUCCUCUGGGAUCCAGGGGUGAGGGGGGACGGACUGGAGACGCAGUGCUUUCCAUGUAAAAUGUUGUCAGUGUAAAUGAACUGACAGUCGUGAGACAGACUCCUCAGAGACACACCGCAGACAGCCCAGUGGAAAUUCAGGGUUAGUCUAAAUCACGAGUUUUUAUUCUAACAAAAAAACUUGAUAUUUCCUUAAUGUCUGCUUCAAGGCAUUCUGACAACCUCCUCUUAAGUUUAAAUAGGUUUUCUGAGCAUCUAAGUUCCUGCUUUAUCCUCAGAAAUGUGUAUUAAUUCAAAUUUGGACUUUGUGUUAUUUAGGUAAAAGCAGGGAAAUGUGGGUCUGAGCACAGGGCUGUGCUGACCUGCAGACAUUCAGAGAAGCACUACGGACCCGGAUACAACUUGACACUCGCUUGACAAAAGCUGUGAAUCAUCGCAGAGGUGCGCCUGAUCUUGAUGUCAGGAUGAGGAAUAUGCUGGAAAACACUGGAGGCCAGAAUGUGCGCUUGGGAACAGGGAAUCCACAGCCACGAGUGGUCGCCUGAACCUGCAUUUAUUCUGGAACCCUGCUCUGUCUGCUUCACCCGGUCAAACCACGAGCCUCUGCCGAUCCCCCUCUCCACCACGAGCCUCAGCUGAACCUGCUGUUUGUCGGAAUCCACGAACGAAGGCACCAGUGACGCCACGAGUCUACAGGAACCGUUCACCCUCGUCGUGGGACCCCUCGGAGUCUGCUGUCCCUCAUACUCACCUUAUUCUGGAUCUGAACAUUAAAUCCAUUUUUCUAAUCAC
Non-coding RNA from Oryzias latipes (Japanese medaka), 1051 nucleotides. NCBI's taxonomy places the organism in Eukaryota, Metazoa, Chordata, Actinopteri, Beloniformes, Adrianichthyidae. The record is from RefSeq and is a predicted model, not a curated record.